Molecule: ribosomal RNA, 353 nt
Filed under: uncultured bacterium
Lineage: Bacteria
Description: bacterial SSU rRNA
Rfam family: Bacterial small subunit ribosomal RNA
Source: RNAcentral
AACGAACGCUGGCGGCGCGCCUAAUACAUGCAAGUCGAGCGAGAAGGUGUAGCAAUGCACUUGUAAAGCGGCGAACGGGUGAGGAAUGCAUGGGUAACCUACCCUCGAGUGGGGAAUAACUAGCCGAAAGGUUAGCUAAUACCGCAUACGUUUCCGGAACUUCGGUUUCGGAAAGAAAGCAAUACCGUGGGUAUUGCGCUCCUGGAUGGGCUCAUGUCCUAUCAGCUUGUUGGUGAGGUAACGGCUCACCAAGGCUUCGACGGGUAGCUGGUCUGAGAGGACGAUCAGCCACACUGGCACUGCGACACGGGCCAGACUCCUACGGGAGGCAGCAGUAAGGAAUAUUGCGCAAU